RNAcentral lists this ribosomal RNA (1362 nucleotides) under Bombus lapidarius. RNAcentral's name for it is "16S ribosomal RNA". Lineage: Eukaryota; Metazoa; Arthropoda; Insecta; Hymenoptera; Apidae. The record is from RNAcentral.
UUUAAAAAUUUAGUUUAUAGAUUUAAAAGUAUGUAAAAUUUUAUAUUUAUUUUUAGUUUUAGUAAUUAUUUAUGAAAUAAUGUAUUAAUUGAUAGAUAAAGUAAUGUAAAUGAAUUUUUUUAAAAAAUUUAGUAAGUAAAAUUUAUUUUGUACCUUUUGUAUCAGGGUUAAUUAAUUUAUUUUAAGUAAUUAAUGGUCUCGAAAGAAAAAGAGCUAAAUAUGUAAUGAUGUUAUUGUGAAAAUAAUAAUUAAAAUAUGUAUUUAGAGAUUAAAUGUCAAUCGAUUUUUUUUAUAUCUAGUUUUUUUUGAAAUAAAUUUAAUUUAUGUAUAAAAAAUAUAAUGAAUUUAUUUUUAAAUUUUAUUAUAUUUUUAUAUAAAAAAUUUGUGGGAUAAUCUAUGAAUUUAUAAUAUAUAAUUAAUUUAUUUUUAUAUAAUAAAAUUAUAUUGAUUUAAAAAUAAUUUUUAUUAAUAAGUAUUUAAUAAUUUAUUUGUUUAUGUAAAAAUUUGUAUUAUUAGUUAUAAAAAUAAUUAAUAUAUAUUUAUUAAAAAAAAAUAAUUUUUAAUUUUUAAAAAUUAAAUGUAAUGAUUAUAUUAGUAAUAAAUAUUUUGUAAUAUUUAAUUAUUUAAAUUAAAUAUAUAUAUAUAUAAGGAAUUAAGCAAAAUUAAUAUGUCCACCUGUUUAUCAAAAACAUGGCUUAUUGAUAAUAAUUUUAAGUCUAUCUGCCCAAUGAUUUUAAAAUUUAAUGGCUGCAGUAUAAUUAACUGUACAAAGGUAGCAUAAUCAAUUGUUUUUUAAUUAAGAACUAGAAUGAAAGAAUUAAUGAGAUAUAUUCUGUCUCAUAUAUAUAUUAUGAAAUUAAAUUUUUAGUAAGAAUGCUAAAAUAUGUUUAUGGGACGAUAAGACCCUAUAGAAUUUUAUAUUUAUAUUUGGAAUUAAAAUUUAUUUUAAGUAUAAGUAUUUGAUUGGGAGGAUUAAUAAAUUUAAUUAACUUUAUUUAAAAUAUUAACUUUAAUUAAAGAAUUAUUUUUGAUCUUUUAUUAAAAAUUAAAAGAAAAAAUUACCUUAGGGAUAACAGCGUAAUAUCUUUUUAAAGAUCAUAUUAAUAAAGAUGGUUGCGACCUCGAUGUUGAAUUAAGAUAAAUUUUAAACGGAGAAGUUUAAUGAUUAAGUCUGUUCGACUUUUAAAAUCUUACAUGAUUUGAGUUCAAAUCGACGUGAGUCAGAUUGGUUUCUAUCUAUAAAAUUUAAUAAAUUAUUUGUACGAAAGGACUGUAAUUUAUAAUUAAAUUAUAGUUAAUUAAUUAAUAUAUGUUUAUAUUAUAUUAGCAUAUUAGUGCAUUAAAUUUAGAAUUUAAUUAAAU